UAGGGAAUCUUCCACAAUGGACGCAAGUCUGAUGGAGCAACGCCGCGUGAGUGAAGAAGGUUUUCGGACCGUAAAGCUCUGUUGUUGGUGAAGAAGGAUAGAGGUAGUAACUGGCCUUUAUUUGACGGUAAUCAACCAGAAAGUCACGGCUAACUACGUGCCAGCAGCCGCGGUAAUACGUAGGUGGCAAGCGUUGUCCGGAUUUAUUGGGCGUAAAGCGAGCGCAGGCGGAAGAAUAAGUCUGAUGUGAAAGCCCUCGGCUUAACCGAGGAAUUGCAUCGGAAACUGUUUUCUUGAGUGCAGAAGAGGAGAGUAGAACUCCAUGUGUAGCGGUGGAAUGCGUAGAUAUAUGGAAGAAUACCAGUGGCGAAGGCGGCACUCUGGUCUGCAAACUGACGCUGAG
This 403-nucleotide ribosomal RNA is filed under the name uncultured bacterium. Its description in RNAcentral is "partial 16S ribosomal RNA". It matches the Rfam family "Bacterial small subunit ribosomal RNA", at positions 355 to 750 of the family's 1533-position model. The record is from RNAcentral.